AAUUCAAGAGGCAUGGCGGACUAAAGGAAUUUUGAGGAAACGACAUCAUUUGCUUCACUAAUACACACUCUAUGUCCAAAACACUUAGCCAAAAUUUCAGACACUUUCUCCCUUUCUCUUUGUCCUCCUCACUUGCCCUAAAAUGAACUCCUCUGUAUCAAGCUCACACUACCAAAUCCAUCAUGAACUGAAGUUUUCCAUUGUCAUCAAUUUGGCAACUUAUCGAGCUCGCACCACCAACAUCCCUAAUUCGACUGUUGCACUGGCUUGGUGGCAAGAAAUCAGAAACUAGGGCUUGAAAAUUUGGGUGAUAGCUGGAGUUUAGAGCUUGAAGCUUGGGAAAAAUGAGAAGUGAGGGAUUGAAGGUAUAGUUUGAG
Molecule: long non-coding RNA, 377 nt
Filed under: Coffea arabica (coffee)
Lineage: Eukaryota; Viridiplantae; Streptophyta; Magnoliopsida; Gentianales; Rubiaceae
Description: long non-coding RNA (CARA_LNC003300)
Source: RNAcentral